UACAGAGGUCUCAAGCGUUGUUCGGAUUCAUUGGGCGUAAAGGGUGCGUAGGCGGCGCGGUAAGUCGGGUGUGAAAUCUUGGAGCUUAACUCCGAAACUGCAUUCGAUACUGCCGUGCUUGAGGACUGGAGAGGAGACUGGAAUUUACGGUGUAGCGGUGAAAUGCGUAGAUAUCUACAGGAACGCCGAUGGUGAAGACGGUCCGCUGGGCAUGUCCUGACGCUGAGGCACGAAAGCGUGGGGAGCAAACAGG
RNAcentral lists this ribosomal RNA (253 nucleotides) under uncultured bacterium. Its description in RNAcentral is "partial 16S ribosomal RNA". It matches the Rfam family "Bacterial small subunit ribosomal RNA", at positions 524 to 776 of the family's 1533-position model. The record is from RNAcentral.